RNAcentral lists this ribosomal RNA (252 nucleotides) under uncultured prokaryote. RNAcentral describes it as "partial 16S rRNA". It matches the Rfam family "Archaeal small subunit ribosomal RNA", at positions 475 to 726 of the family's 1478-position model. The record is from RNAcentral.
ACCGGCAGCUCAAGUGGUGGCCAUUUUUAUUGGGCCUAAAGCGUUCGUAGCCGGUUUGAUAAGUCUCUGGUGAAAUCCCGCAGCUUAACUGUGGGACUUGCUGGAGAUACUAUUAGACUUGAGGUCGGGAGAGGUUAGGGGUACUCCCAGGGUAGGGGUGAAAUCCUAUAAUCCUGGGAGGACCACCUGUGGCGAAGGCGCCUAACUGGUUUGAACCUGACGGUUUUUAACGAAAGCUUUUGUUGCUUACCU